GGCUGAGACACAGCAAGGCCACAAGACUAAAGCACUGCACAUGCACAGGCUUGUGCAGCCCUGUCUCAUAGCAACAAGUGGAACAUGUGCCUUCAGAAGCACUAGAUGGUUGGUCAAGCUGAAACGUAAAUGGAUGCUGAGGCCCCACAGCGAAACUGCAAAGUACAGAUAUGCUGCAGUAAUGGAGGUUUCUAAAGCACACAACACCAUGAGUUUAUUCAGAGAUUGCAACCUCCAUCCAUUGUCCUUCCCUCCCGCUGUUUUUCCCCACACACCAGUCACAGGAGCUCUGAUCCAGCCUCGCCUCCACAGCCGUGCAACAGUAGCGGAGCGCACAGGUCCCACAGCAGUACUUUGCGUCCUGGCCGUCAUACUGCUCUGGACACUGGAAGCCCUUGUGCCAGAUCUUGUAAGAGUCGGACCAGCCAUGGCAAUACUCUCCUGAGCUGGCCACAAUAUGUUUGUGCAUCAAAGAGAAAAAUAAAUACAAAGCAACUAAAAAACGCAUCUUGUAUGACAGGAAAAAUCCUCACACCCAAUUGGUGAAACAGUUGUUGGAGCUUCAAAAAGUUCAAAUCAAAAGCCCAAUGACAUGCUCACAAUUGGGAAGAAAAUGGUCAAUGAAAUAUCAACAACAAUUCAAUGAAUGAAAAAAUUAUGUGAUCCUGUCAAUGGUCAAGUGGUGAAGCAAGGCAGAUCUGUGACCAUAAUGGGAGUAUGUGGCUAUUUCACCUCUGUUUUAUCCUCUGCCCCCCUCCCUGACACCUAUUGUGUGCCUAAUAUGGGAGGGGCUUGAUACAUUACUUUGCUAAUUUCAUGUAGGUCUGCCCCAGGCCAAGACCUGUCUGCACUUUUGGAUAAGGAGACAAUACUAUAUGGGCUAAUAGGCUACUGGACAUUUUUUUUUCAAUGUUCAUUCAAAUUCAACCAGCCUUACUCAAUUAGAUAUUCAAAAUAGCAAUGUGAGGUCUGGGUGUUAUGUGUUACCUUGCAUAUUUCUUUGAAAAGUUGUUGGAAGAAAAUGGAGAGGUCUGCAUUCAGUGCAAACAAAAAUAAAGUGAGGAGUUGAGGGAGGGAGCAUGUGUUUGAUACUACAAUGUAGACUUUCAAUCUUUAAAACUAAUGAUAUAUACCCUCUGAUUCUUGAAGAAUAUAACUAAUAAAUGCCUCAUGACCUUCAACUGUCAUACACCAUCAAAACUUCAAAUAUAACCUCAAAUCAAAGGUUAUUGGUAGCGUACACAGUUUAGCAGAUGUUACAGUGGGUGCAGCUAAAUGCUUGUGUUACUAACUCCUAACAAUGCAGUAAAAAUGUCAAACAAGUACACAAAUAAUAAUAAUCCAAUACUAAAAAAGAAGAAAUCAGGAAUGUUAGGACAAAUCCAGUUAACAACCCAAAUAACACUGUAUCAGUAAUCCAAAUGCAUGCUGUGUAUAUACACCAGAAAGAUAUACUAAGAAUGAUAUGUACAGCAGUAGAUACCGUAUAUUACAGUGAGCUAUGUUAAGAAUCCGGUAUAUAAAUACAGGCGGUGUAUAUAAACAUUGUAACAAAAAUGCAAUGUACAGUAGUAGAUAUAUAUAUGAAUGAGCUAUGUGAAGAAUACAGUAUAUGAAUGAGAAUCCAGUAUAUAAAUAAGAAUCCAGUUUAUAAAUAUGCUGUGAGUAUUAACAGUGUAACAAAAAUGCAAUGUACAGUUGUAGAUAUAUUUGAAUGAGCCAUGUGAGAUUACAGUAUAUGAAUAUGCAGUGUGAAAAACAGUAUAAAAUAAACGGUCCAGUGUUUAAUGUCUAUAUAUACAUGGGUCAGCAGCA
This is a long non-coding RNA of Salvelinus fontinalis (brook trout), 1815 nucleotides long. RefSeq lists it as uncharacterized. The record is from RefSeq and is a predicted model, not a curated record. The transcript is spliced from 3 exons. Lineage: Eukaryota; Metazoa; Chordata; Actinopteri; Salmoniformes; Salmonidae.